Triticum urartu is the source of this 2004-nucleotide non-coding RNA. The record is from RefSeq and is a predicted model, not a curated record. NCBI's taxonomy places the organism in Eukaryota, Viridiplantae, Streptophyta, Magnoliopsida, Poales, Poaceae.
CGUCGUCACAUUAAGGCAGAGUGAGGACGUAAUUAGCUCAUUAGGAGGAGUUCAAUUGUUUCCCCAAAUUUCCUUCCACGAUUUUGUAACCCUUUGCAGAAUUGCAUGGGGAGGUUCGCAACAUUGUCUACUCAUCUGAUAGGAAAUCAGUAUCUAUUGUCUAUCAUGUGACUAUGGAACUGAUGCAGAGUACCCUUCUUUGCAUGGGAGUUAUAUGUGGUUCAGUUUGCAGAAUCUUGUUUGGUUUUACAUUGAUCUUGCAUGCUCAGUUUUUGGGCGUAUAACCAGUUUGUAGGUCCUACUAUUUGAUCUGUGGACGUGACCAAUGAGGGCAUGGAGAUUAUGGCGAGGCAUGGUGAUGCGGUGGCAGUGGUGAAGGUAACCACAUCGAAGGCAGCGGCAAUGGGUGGUUGUCGAUGAAAGCAGCAUGGGGAUGGGGGAGGUGGAGAGGCGAGGGAUGGAGGCGGAGGACGGCAGCCAGGGAGACGGAGUGGCAGUGAGAUUGGACGAGCUCGCCUGCGGAGUGCGUGGGCAAGAUUUCCUUUCCGGGUUGGACGAGGGCUUCUUUGUUUGUGUGUGUGUGCAUGUGUGAGUUCACACCGAUACUCGACCAAAUACUGUGCAUGGUUAUCUGAAAUUCUAGACAAUAGUUCACAUCCCAGUGGCAGGUAAGAACCUUCUUUUUAAUUUAUCAAAUGGCGUCAAUAGACCAUAAAAUUAUCUUCAUUUAUAAUACUAAAGAUAUGUCAAUACAUGUUCUUACAUUUAGGCUCCUAAACCUGUUGAAUGAGUUCUAUAUACAAGAUUUAUAUUGUCCUUCUAUAAAUUAAGACUACACUUGCUAUUGAUGAGUCUAUAAUUGUCAACCUGGACAGUAACAACACACUAUCGUUUUAUCUCUCAAUGUGAGCAAGUAAGAUUUUUUUUCAGAGCUUUAUUCUUUUGUAUUAUUUUUCUAUUACAGAAGUUGAUGCUCCAUCUUGUUAUUCAUUUCCUGGGAUCAUUUCUCGAGGAAUGUACGGAUUUCUCGAAGUGACGCAAUGCUAUGAUCUUCAACCAUGAAAAUGAAACUGUCAGCGCUGAUGGCCUGCUCCUGUGAUCUCAUAGCAUUGUGUCAAGGAGCAGGUGGAGAGGGAGAAAGAGAAAGGGAGAAUGGAAGCCAAGUGAUAGACAAAGAGAGUGAAAGGUAUUUGGUUCAAAAUAUAUUUUUCUACUGUUAACCGAUAGCAUGGAUAUCACUAUUUAUGAUCAUGAUGUCCAUAAGAAAUCAUCAUGACAUGUCGAAUCCUCAACCACUCAGUUAGAUGUUGAUGGAUCUGCAUCACAGCUUUUGUUGAACUCUCAUGGUUGGAGAUACUGCAAGAAUUCUGAUUCGGCACGGCCCUCAUGGAGACAAUGGAGAUGGUGUUCAGCGGUGCGCUCAGCUAGAGUUCGCCGUACGUCCGACAUUUGCUGAUUCGGCAGGGCCCUCAUGGAAACAAAUCCAUGAAAGACGCAUUGGAGCACCAGUUCAGGGCGCAGAGAAACUAAUGGAGCAACCAGGAGUCCAAUCAUUUUAAGGCAGAACAUUGAACAUAUCAGUGAUCGGACACUCGAGACAACUCUUAAUGAGUUCUAGCAACCGAAGACAGAAUAUUUGCGUAGGAUGCAACAAAGCUGCAUGUCAUGAGAUUAUUGAAUACGUUGAGUAAUUUGGAAUGGAAACAUUUUUGGUUAAAUAGGAUGCUCUUGAGAUUAUUUCUCAUGCCAACAUGGCAUGCCCGAGCUAAAAAUGUGCCACCCUUUGACAGGACCAUGCCUUGUUAGAGGAGGUUUCUGGUUGGAUAAAUGAGAAGGCCAUGAUGCCUAUUUGGGCUAAGAUGACUCCUAACAUUGCAGGUAUUACGGAUGGAACUUAAGCUUCCAUAAUGCAUUUGUUGAGUAAUUAGCAGUCACAUAUCUUCUGUGUUUUUAAUUGCUAUACGGUGUCAACAAAUGAUGAGGUUCUAAAUUAUUAUUUUUAUC